CCGAGCUGUGUGCCCGGGCUGAGCCCCCACCGCGCUCCUGCACGACCCUGCUGAGCCCCGCGCUGCCAGCCCGGCCUGCCGUGGCUCGGCCCUGCCAUGGCUGGCAUCCGGCAAGGCCACUGUGACCCCGGGAGCUGCAGUGUGGCACUGCGUGUAUUUGACAAGCUGAGUCCGACACUCAGUGUGCAGAGUGUCAGUUUGUCAAAUACCCCAAGUGAGGCACUGCCGAGCAACGCGAUGCCGAGGGUGCAGCCCUUUCCUCCUGCUCUGGCAGGAGCCUUCUUCUCCAGGCUCGGCAUUUCUUCAGAAACCCAUCGAGGUACUGAGCAGCCCAUCCCAUUGUUCCAGAACACCUGAAGGAUCCUGUGCUGCCAGGUUUCCCUUCCACCCCGGUUUUGGAAGUAUCUGUUGGGGUAUCCCUCCCAACAGUAAAUGAGAGCAGAAGUGGUGCUGGUGCAACUUCUCUGCACUGUGAAGAUAGGGAAUUGUGCCCUAGGUCCUUGUUAUUUGCAUCCAAAUACCAUGCUGUUUUCUUGCACAGCAUUAAGUAGCCAGCUGUAAAUUAAGCUCAGCUAACAAGGAUCCUGGCAACUAUAAUUACAACAUCAUGGCUAAAGGCAGCAUUAUCCAUAAUAAAGAAUCUUGCCUUUGCACAUGGAGUAAUCAUUUUAUAUGGAGUACAAGCUAAUGAGGCUGCUCAUUAACUUCCCUCUGGCCCAUUAGCCUGUGAAAAAUGCAUGUUGGUUCAAGCUGUUUUAAAUUAGGCCAUGGAGUCCACUGCCCCUCCUGGGAGCCUUGCUAUUUGGAGAAGACUUCUUGUUUUUGCAUGGUUAGGGCAGUCAGCACUUGCAGCAAGGUUGCCUAUUCUGCUAUUUAAUUAAAGUAAUUCCCUCUAAUCAUCCCACUUGAAGAUGUAAUGAUUGCUAAGUGUUUUCAGUAACUGACUUGUAGCAUUUCAGAUAUGUCAGCAUAGGGGAAUGACAGGGGCAGCAUCCAGCCCAGUUUUACAAAUCAAACUCUGAAAGCAUUUGACAUGGAAAACUCAAGAAUAAAAAAAAAAUCUCCAGACUCUACUGACUAGUUUUAGGACAGUACCACCAGAAAAUUUUGCAAUAUUUGAGAGUAUUAAUAAACUUGAAUACUAA
This is a long non-coding RNA of Haemorhous mexicanus (house finch), 1145 nucleotides long. RefSeq lists it as uncharacterized. The transcript has 2 exons. The record is from RefSeq and is a predicted model, not a curated record. Lineage: Eukaryota; Metazoa; Chordata; Aves; Passeriformes; Fringillidae.